CACCUGCUUUUUCGCCUAUAGUUCAACCCAACUGCUUCUUUUCCUUUUUGUUUCUCUUACGAAGAAAGUGUUUCCAUCCCAUCCCGUCUCAGGGCAGGGAUCAUGGCUAGCAUUUCCCGCAUGAACUGGUUCUUUCUUUCAUUCAUUUCAUGUGGUCUUAUUCUUUGGAGAUUAUUACCUUGACAAACCUCCUGCUAAUAGAUACCUGCUUGCUUACUCUUUUAUUGAAUGUGUCUGAACAACAAAGAAGAGCUUUAUCUUCCUAGCGUGUAAAAGGGGCCACUGGCAUAAGCAUCAGAGCAAGAGCGGAUUUGGCCGAACUAUACUACCGGCUUUUAAAGCACUAUUAGCAGUAGUUCCUAUAAAGAAGGGAGGUUUCUAGAGUACUAUUGGCAGUAGUUCCUAUGAAGAAGGGAGGGUUUCGUCUUUCUUCGAAUUCUUCUUCCCCCAUUUGUAAGUCCUUUGUAAGGCAAUCUCUUAGGGAAUGGAGAACGAAGAACAACGCUGCUAAAGGCGAGAAGUCAAGAAACUGUACUAUUGCUGAAGCCGCCCUGCCGCGCUAUUACUAGAGACCGUAGUGGCUUUCCUACCGGCCGGUUACUCGCCACGCUUUCCGCUUCGUGCUAAAGAAAUAGCGUGAUUGAUCAAAGAGGAUAGGCCAGAGCUUUUGCCUUUUCCUUUUUUGAGUAGUUAAGGCCGUCAGUAAGUCUUGGAGGAUUCCUGCCGUAAUAUCAUUUAUAUACGUUUUCUGGUGCCAGCUCUUCAAUCGAUUGCCAGCCGGGGCUCGGUAUUAUAGGGUUUAUAGGAGAAUUCUCUACACUAAAGCUUUCUCCCUAACCUACCGCGGAGCUACUUAACCCGGGGUUUCAACUCUGAUUGAAAGUAUGGUAUCGACAAAUGAAAGCACGAGAAAACCAUAUAUAGAGCAAAAGGAUGAAGGCGAGCGAUACAGAUAGCUGAGAUUGAAGAGCUCGAAGAUAGGAGGAGAAUUAUAGGUUAGGAGUCAAGUAACGAAUUCCAUAAAAAAGGGGCAGGGCUGCCGUCGGGUUUGCUCUAGUGGCAGUUGGGUUAGCGCGUUUAGGUUAGGGUAAGGUAAGGAGGAAAUACAUAACCUUACUAUUAGAUUUGCCUAAGUAUAAUUGUUCUGGUUCUAUUGGAUUUGUCUAAGUAUAGUAUAGUAAAAUUGUUCUGGUUCUAUUGGAUUGUGCCCUGUAGCAUCAACUUCCGUUUUGUUUGACUAUUGGAUUUGCCCUGUAGCAUGUAGCAUCCACUUUUCUUUUUUGUUUGACUUUUUGACUAACAUUACUGUGCUCUAAGUUAUUCAAGCUUCAAGUUUAUGUAGGGUUAGGGUGCGCUCGCGUUAGAGAAGGUUGCCCGAGUACCUUUCCUAUACUUAAGUGAAGCUAUCACAUGACUAACUUAUGGAAUAGAAUGUUGCGUGUGACACAUAUAGAAUCAAAAGCGGAAGUAGUGAAGUAUACUAUACAUAUGCGAUUUUAGCACUAAUGCGCGGAGAUCUUGUAUUGUCAAAAAGAACAUAUAUAUGGAUUUGCUUUUCCAAAGUGUUGAGAUCCCGGGUUGAGUUUUUUCUAUGAGUCAUUACUUCUACGAGAGAAAGUGAUUCCGCAGUCCUACCCUACUUAGGUAAGGCAUCAACCCGAGAGAAAGAAAGAAAGUGAUUCCGCUGUCCUACCUUCCAACGCUAAGGCAUCAACCAUAGCAUUGAAUUCAGGAAAAGCCUUUGAUUCAUUAUGGUUUAGUACCAGUGGCUCAAGGAAUUUGGUUACAACAUUAUUCUUAUAUAUUCUAUUGGCCUUGUUCGGUAAACCAUUAUUAUUAUUAUUAUAUCUAUUUUCUGGGUCUUGCGUAAUAUUCUUCUUUCUUAUAUAUUCUAUUGGCCUUGCUUAAUAUUCUCUUAUAUAUUCUAUUGGAGUUGUUCGGUAAAUAAUAAUGAAUAAUAGGUAGGUUGGUCAAAAGGCAAAGGGGCCAAGC
Molecule: long non-coding RNA, 1992 nt
Filed under: Musa acuminata (dwarf banana)
Lineage: Eukaryota; Viridiplantae; Streptophyta; Magnoliopsida; Zingiberales; Musaceae
Description: long non-coding RNA (MACU_LNC007976)
Source: RNAcentral